GACGAACGCUGGCGGCGUGCCUAAUACAUGCAAGUCGAACGAACUCUGGUAUUGAUUGGUGCUUGCAUCAUGAUUUACAUUUGAGUGAGUGGCGAACUGGUGAGUAACACGUGGGAAACCUGCCCAGAAGCGGGGGAUAACACCUGGAAACAGAUGCUAAUACCGCAUAACAACUUGGACCGCAUGGUCCGAGCUUGAAAGAUGGCUUCGGCUAUCACUUUUGGAUGGUCCCGCGGCGUAUUAGCUAGAUGGUGGGGUAACGGCUCACCAUGGCAAUGAUACGUAGCCGACCUGAGAGGGUAAUCGGCCACAUUGGGACUGAGACACGGCCCAAACUCCUACGGGAGGCAGCAGUAGGGAAUCUUCCACAAUGGACGAAAGUCUGAUGGAGCAGCGCCGCGUGAGUGAAGAAGGGUUUCGGCUCGUAAAACUCUGUUGUUAAAGAAGAACAUAUCUGAGAGUAACUGUUCAGGUAUUGACGGUAUUUAACCAGAAAGCCACGGCUAACUACGUGCCAGCAGCCGCGGUAAUACGUAGGUGGCAAGCGUUGUCCGGAUUUAUUGGGCGUAAAGCGAGCGCAGGCGGUUUUUUAAGUCUGAUGUGAAAGCCUUCGGCUCAACCGAAGAAGUGCAUCGGAAACUGGGAAACUUGAGUGCAGAAGAGGACAGUGGAACUCCAUGUGUAGCGGUGAAAUGCGUAGAUAUAUGGAAGAACACCAGUGGCGAAGGCGGCUGUCUGGUCUGUAACUGACGCUGAGGCUCGAAAGUAUGGGUAGCAAACAGGAUUAGAUACCCUGGUAGUCCAUACCGUAAACGAUGAAUGCUAAGUGUUGGAGGGUUUCCGCCCUUCAGUGCUGCAGCUAACGCAUUAAGCAUUCCGCCUGGGGAGUACGGCCGCAAGGCUGAAACUCAAAGGAAUUGACGGGGGCCCGCACAAGCGGUGGAGCAUGUGGUUUAAUUCGAAGCUACGCGAAGAACCUUACCAGGUCUUGACAUACUAUGCAAAUCUAAGAGAUUAGACGUUCCCUUCGGGGACAUGGAUACAGGUGGUGCAUGGUUGUCGUCAGCUCGUGUCGUGAGAUGUUGGGUUAAGUCCCGCAACGAGCGCAACCCUUAUUAUCAGUUGCCAGCAUUAAGUUGGGCACUCUGGUGAGACUGCCGGUGACAAACCGGAGGAAGGUGGGGAUGACGUCAAAUCAUCAUGCCCCUUAUGACCUGGGCUACACACGUGCUACAAUGGAUGGUACAACGAGUUGCGAACUCGCGAGAGUAAGCUAAUCUCUUAAAGCCAUUCUCAGUUCGGAUUGUAGGCUGCAACUCGCCUACAUGAAGUCGGAAUCGCUAGUAAUCGCGGAUCAGCAUGCCGCGGUGAAUACGUUCCCGGGCCUUGUACACACCGCCCGUCACACCAUGAGAGUUUGUAACACCCAAAGUCGGUGGGGUAACCUUUUAGGAACCAGCCGCCUAAGGUGGGACAGAUGAUUAGGGUG
This 1489-nucleotide ribosomal RNA is filed under the name Lactiplantibacillus argentoratensis. RNAcentral's name for it is "bacterial SSU rRNA". It matches the Rfam family "Bacterial small subunit ribosomal RNA". Lineage: Bacteria; Bacillati; Bacillota; Bacilli; Lactobacillales; Lactobacillaceae. The record is from RNAcentral.